UGGGAACACUUACAGAUAUGGCGAGCGUCAGUUGUCCUUUGAUGAUACUCCGGUUAUUCAUGUCAGGAUGCAUCGUCCGUCUUCCUUGAGAUUCAAGCUACCCAACAUUCCUUGCAUUAACCCUGCACAAGUAGAUUUCGACUUUGAUUUCAAUGACACAAACGACGAUGGAUUUUACUACGACGAUAUUGCUAGAAAGAGUUUCUUGAAGAGUGCGGAAGAGGAAGAAGACGAAGAAGAAGAGUACUCAGGUCUAGAUGUUGAGGUAUAUGGUGAUCAGGAAAUUGAGGAACAUGAACAAGAACAAGCUGCCAAUAUUGAUACCAAAGCUGAGGAAUUCAUAGCCAAGUUCUAUGAGCAAAUGAAGCUGCAAAGACAGAUCUCAUACCUUGAAUAUCAUAAAACAAGCACAUCAGUUGACCAAAGACAUUCUUAAUUUCCCAUCUCAUCAAAAGUUUUUACUAUAUUUAUCACUGAACAUCGGAUAUACAUCUAUACAUACGUUAUACAAA
This 512-nucleotide long non-coding RNA is filed under the name Daucus carota (carrot). RNAcentral describes it as "long non-coding RNA (DCAR_LNC002549)". The record is from RNAcentral. Lineage: Eukaryota; Viridiplantae; Streptophyta; Magnoliopsida; Apiales; Apiaceae.